Long non-coding RNA from Felis catus (domestic cat), 376 nucleotides. RefSeq lists it as uncharacterized. NCBI's taxonomy places the organism in Eukaryota, Metazoa, Chordata, Mammalia, Carnivora, Felidae. The record is from RefSeq and is a predicted model, not a curated record. The transcript is spliced from 2 exons.
AUAAGACAUGGUAUAUAUGAUACUAAUCAGACGUAGCUUCUUUCCCUCCUGCUUCAUCAGGGGCUGGAAUCUCCUCGUUUUUAGUUUCUCCAUUUUCUGCAGCUUUCUCUUCACUCUGGAAAAAGACCCUGAGGGCAAAGCACCCCCAGAUGGGAACCGAAAGUACUCCCUCAGGCAAUAAGGAGUUUCCUGAGCCAGCAAGACCCCAAGUCAUUGACUUCAAGACAAAGACCCACCAGACCUUCACUGCCCACCUGCACGUACCACUGACCUUUGCCCUGGAAAUAUUUUUGGCACUUCGGUGACAGCCUUUGAGCCAUUAGUCUGUGGUCUUCCGGGUGUCGGCCUCAUGGAAAUAAAUUCCUCUCUUACUUCA